AUACGGAGGAUGCAAGCGUUAUCCGGAUUUAUUGGGUUUAAAGGGUGCGUAGGCGGUUUGCUAAGCGGGAGGUGAAAUGCCGGCGCUCAACGUCGGAAGUGCCUCCCGAACUGGUGGACUGGAAUGACUCUGCCGUGGGAGGAAUGUGUAGUGUAGCGGUGAAAUGCUUAGAGAUUACACAGAACACCGAUUGCGAAGGCAUCUCACGAAGGGUUGAUUGACGCUGAGGCACGAAAGCGUGGGGAUCAAACAGGAUUAGAUACCCUGGUAGUCCACGCAGUAAACGAUGAUGGUUAACCGCUUGUUUAUUCGGAUCAGUGGCCAAGCGAAAGCGAUAAGCCAUCCACCUGGGGAGUACGACCGCAAGGUUGAAACUUAAAUGAAUUGACGGGG
This 393-nucleotide ribosomal RNA is filed under the name uncultured bacterium. Its description in RNAcentral is "partial 16S ribosomal RNA". It matches the Rfam family "Bacterial small subunit ribosomal RNA", at positions 523 to 918 of the family's 1533-position model. The record is from RNAcentral.